CAGAAGCCGCAGGGCGCUUAUGGGCAUUCUGAGUUCAGGGCGACGCUGUAGGGCGCACCAAUGGGGGCAGCCGGAUUGACUCCGCUAGGCACGGCGAAUUAUCGAAAUGAUAGAACCCAGUCUAAACGGCUCCGUUUAAACCUCGAAAAGGCGGCAGCCGUCCGCCCCCGUAUCCGGGUCAAUGUGCCAUUUUUUGGCUAAGCUUGUAGUUAUUUUAACCUCUGGAAAUCUCACGGUUAAUGUGGAGGUUUAAGAGUUCUGGAAUUUAGGGCCCUAAGAUUCGAGGUACUUCAGGGGUGAAAGGAAAUUUUUAAUCCUGAGGACCACCGAUGGCGAAGGCAUCUAACAAGAACGGCUUCGACACCCCGCAACGAAAGCUGGGGGAGCGAACGGGAUUAGAUACCCCGGUAGUGGAGGGGGGGCCCCCAUGCGCGUUAGGAGAAAAAGAGAACUACGAGUUACCGGUUUUUUUUUUUUUUCGCGUGAAACGUGCCGCCUGGGAAGUACGGUCGCAAGGCUGAAACUUAAAGGAAUUGGCGGGGGAGAGCCGGGGAGGGUGGAGCCUGCGGUUUAAUUGGACUCAACGCCGGGCAGCUCACCGGAUAGGACAGCGGAAUGAUAGCCGGGCUGAAGACCUUGCUUGACCAGCUUUGAGGAGGUGCAUGGCCGUCGUCAGUUCGUACUGUGAAGCAUCCUGUUUAGUCUGCCUUCUAGCGAGCCCUAAUCUUUUUCCCCCCCGACUUUCUGCUCGAAUUCACUCCCGUUGUUCAC
RNAcentral lists this ribosomal RNA (771 nucleotides) under uncultured archaeon. RNAcentral's name for it is "partial 16S ribosomal RNA". The stretch from base 147 to 771 matches the Rfam family "Archaeal small subunit ribosomal RNA", at positions 1 to 1118 of the family's 1478-position model. The record is from RNAcentral.